CAGAGGGUGCAAGCGUUAAUCGGAAUUACUGGGCGUAAAGCGAGCGUAGUCGGUUAUUUAAGUCGGAUGUGAAAUCCCCGGGCUCAACCUGGGAAUUGCAUUCGAUACUGGAUAGCUAGAGUUCGGCAGAGGGAAGCGGAAUUUCUGGUGUAGCGGUGAAAUGCGUAGAAAUCAGAAGGAACAUCAGUGGCGAAAGCGGCUUCCUGGACCAGAACUGACGAUCAGGCUCGAAAGCGUGGGGAGCAAACAGGAUUAGAUACCCUGGUAGUCCACGCCAUAAACGAUGACAACUAGACGUUGGGGACAUAUGGUCCACAGUGUCGCAGCUAACGCGUUAAGUUGUCCGCCUGGGGAGUACGGCCGCAAGGUUG
RNAcentral lists this ribosomal RNA (371 nucleotides) under uncultured organism. RNAcentral describes it as "bacterial SSU rRNA". It matches the Rfam family "Bacterial small subunit ribosomal RNA", at positions 526 to 896 of the family's 1533-position model. The record is from RNAcentral.